UGGGGAAUAUUGCACAAUGGGGAAAACCCUGAUGCAGCGACGCCGCGUGAACGAAGAAGGUAUUCGUAUCGUAAAGUUCUGUCCUAUGGGAAGAUAAUGACAGUACCAUAGAAGAAAGCUCCGGCUAAAUACGUGCCAGCAGCCGCGGUAAUACGUAUGGAGCGAGCGUUGUCCGGAAUUAUUGGGCGUAAAGGGUACGCAGGCGGUUUAAUAAGUCGAAUGUUAAAGAUCGGGGCUAAACCCCGUAAAGCAUUGGAAACUGAUAAACUUGAGUAGUGGAGAGGAAAGUGGAAUUCCUAGUGUAGUGGUGAAAUACGUAGAUAUUAGGAGGAAUACCAGUAGCGAAGGCGACUUUCUGGACACAAACUGACGCUGAGGUACGAAAGCGUGGGGAGCAAACAGG
Molecule: ribosomal RNA, 403 nt
Filed under: bacterium
Lineage: Bacteria
Description: partial 16S ribosomal RNA
Rfam family: Bacterial small subunit ribosomal RNA
Source: RNAcentral